GGAUGGUUGACUGAGUGGCUUAAGGUGUAAUAUUUGAGCUAUUAUUAGUUUUAAUAAACUACGUAGGUUCAAAUCCUACACCAUCCG
This 87-nucleotide transfer RNA is filed under the name Torulaspora globosa. RNAcentral describes it as "tRNA-Ser". It matches the Rfam family "tRNA". From Rfam's summary of the family: Transfer RNA (tRNA) molecules are approximately 80 nucleotides in length. The record is from RNAcentral. Lineage: Eukaryota; Fungi; Ascomycota; Saccharomycetes; Saccharomycetales; Saccharomycetaceae.